GACGAACGCUGGCGGCGUGCCUAAUACAUGCAAGUUGAGCGAUGAAGAUUGGUGCUUGCACCAAUUUGAAGAGCAGCGAACGGGUGAGUAACGCGUGGGGAAUCUGCCUUUGAGCGGGGGACAACAUUUGGAAACGAAUGCUAAUACCGCAUAACAACUUUAAACAUAAGUUUUAAGUUUGAAAGAUGCAAUUGCAUCACUCAAAGAUGACCCCGCGUUGUAUUAGCUAGUUGGUGAGGUAAAGGCUCACCAAGGCGAUGAUACAUAGCCGACCUGAGAGGGUGAUCGGCCACAUUGGGACUGAGACACGGCCCAAACUCCUACGGGAGGCAGCAGUAGGGAAUCUUCGGCAAUGGACGAAAGUCUGACCGAGCAACGCCGCGUGAGUGAAGAAGGUUUUCGGAUCGUAAAACUCUGUUGGUAGAGAAGAACGUUGGUGAGAGUGGAAAGCUCAUCAAGUGACGGUAACUACCCAGAAAGGGACGGCUAACUACGUG
This 497-nucleotide ribosomal RNA is filed under the name uncultured bacterium. RNAcentral describes it as "partial 16S ribosomal RNA". It matches the Rfam family "Bacterial small subunit ribosomal RNA", at positions 28 to 507 of the family's 1533-position model. The record is from RNAcentral.